This 302-nucleotide long non-coding RNA is filed under the name Homo sapiens (human). RNAcentral's name for it is "non-protein coding lnc-BRF1-50:1". Lineage: Eukaryota; Metazoa; Chordata; Mammalia; Primates; Hominidae. The record is from RNAcentral.
GUAUCCAGGGUGAGGCCCAGCUUACAGAGUCUGGGGGAGACUUGGUACACUUAGAGGGGCCCCUGAGGCUCUCCUGUGCAGCCUCUUGGUUCACCUUCAGUAUCUAUGAGAUUCACUGGGUUUGCCAGGCCUCAGGGAAGGGGCUGGAAUGGGUUGCAGUUAUAUGGCGUGGUGAAAGUCAUCAAUACAAUGCAGACUAUGUUAGGGGCAGACUCACCACUUCCAGAGACAACACCAAGUACAUGCUGUACAUGCAAAUGAUCAGCCUGAGAACCCAGAACAUGGCAGCAUUUAACUGUGCA